UGCGUAGGAAGCUGCCCGAUAGAGGGGGAUACCAGUUGGAAACGACUGUUAAUACCGCAUAAUGUCUACGGACCAAAGUGUGGGACCUUCGGGCCACAUGCUAUCGGAUGCGCCUACGUGGGAUUAGCUAGUUGGUGGGGUAAUGGCUCACCAAGGCGACGAUCCCUAGCUGGUUUGAGAGGAUGAUCAGCCACACUGGGACUGAGACACGGCCCAGACUCCUACGGGAGGCAGCAGUGGGGAAUAUUGGACAAUGGGCGCAAGCCUGAUCCAGCCAUGCCGCGUGUGUGAAGAAGGCCUUCGGGUUGUAAAGCACUUUCAGUGGGGAGGAAGGGGUUGUAGUUAAUAGCUGCAAUUUUUGACGUUACCCACAGAAGAAGCACCGGCUAACUCCGUG
RNAcentral lists this ribosomal RNA (397 nucleotides) under uncultured bacterium. Its description in RNAcentral is "bacterial SSU rRNA". It matches the Rfam family "Bacterial small subunit ribosomal RNA", at positions 114 to 507 of the family's 1533-position model. The record is from RNAcentral.